CCUCCAGCUCAGAUCGGAGUGAAGGGAUACAGGAAGCACGGAAAUGAGUGGCAUCAUGGUUGAUGUGAGGCCAUUUCUCAACUGGUUCUGGUUUCUGCAAAAAUACACUGAAAUUUGAAGAAAUAUCGUCUUUUCCUUAAAAAAAUAAA
Molecule: non-coding RNA, 149 nt
Organism: Caenorhabditis elegans
Lineage: Eukaryota; Metazoa; Nematoda; Chromadorea; Rhabditida; Rhabditidae
Source: Ensembl